This 468-nucleotide ribosomal RNA is filed under the name uncultured bacterium. RNAcentral describes it as "partial 16S ribosomal RNA". It matches the Rfam family "Bacterial small subunit ribosomal RNA", at positions 28 to 507 of the family's 1533-position model. The record is from RNAcentral.
GACGAACGCUGGCGGCGUGCUUAACACAUGCAAGUCGAACGGAAAGGCCCUGCUUUUGUGGGGUGCUCGAGUGGCGAACGGGUGAGUAACACGUGAGUAACCUGCCCUUGACUUUGGGAUAACUUCAGGAAACUGGGGCUAAUACCGGAUAGGAGCUCCUGCUGCAUGGUGGGGGUUGGAAAGUUUCGGCGGUUGGGGAUGGACUCGCGGCUUAUCAGCUUGUUGGUGGGGUAGUGGAUGACCAAGGCUUUGACGGGUAGCCGGCCUGAGAGGGUGACCGGCCACAUUGGGGCUGAGAUACGGCACAGACUCCUACGGGAGGCAGCAGUGGGGAAUAUUGCACAAUGGGCGGAAGCCUGAUGCAGCAACGCCGCGUGCGGGAUGACGGCCUUCGGGUUGUAAACCGCUUUCGCAUGUGACGAAGCGUGAGUGACGGUAAUGGGUAAAGAAGCACCGGCUAACUACGUG